AGUGAACGCUGGCGGUAGGCCUAACACAUGCAAGUCGAACGGCAGCACAGUAAGAGCUUGCUCUUACGGGUGGCGAGUGGCGGACGGGUGAGGAAUACAUCGGAAUCUACUUUUUCGUGGGGGAUAACGUAGGGAAACUUACGCUAAUACCGCAUACGACCUACGGGUGAAAGCAGGGGAUCUUCGGACCUUGCGCGAUUGAAUGAGCCGAUGUCGGAUUAGCUAGUUGGCGGGGUAAAGGCCCACCAGGGCGACGAUCCGUAGCUGGUCUGAGAGGAUGAUCAGCCACACUGGAACUGAGACACGGUCCAGACUCCUACGGGAGGCAGCAGUGGGGAAUAUUGGACAAUGGGCGCAAGCCUGAUCCAGCCAUACCGCGUGGGUGAAGAAGGCCUUCGGGUUGUAAAGCCCUUUUGUUGGGAAAGAAAAGCAGCAGGUUAAUACCCCGCUGUCCUGACGGUACCCAAAGAAUAAGCACCGGCUAACUUCGUG
This 492-nucleotide ribosomal RNA is filed under the name uncultured bacterium. RNAcentral describes it as "partial 16S ribosomal RNA". It matches the Rfam family "Bacterial small subunit ribosomal RNA", at positions 29 to 507 of the family's 1533-position model. The record is from RNAcentral.